Molecule: ribosomal RNA, 937 nt
Filed under: uncultured marine bacterium
Lineage: Bacteria
Description: bacterial SSU rRNA
Rfam family: Bacterial small subunit ribosomal RNA
Source: RNAcentral
CAUGCAAGUCGAACGAAGUCUUCGGACUUAGUGGCGCACGGGUGAGUAACAUGUGGGAAUCUACCUAGAGGUUCGGAAUAACUACGGGAAACUGUAGCUAAUACCGGAUGUGUCUGUAAAGAGAAAGAUUUAUCGCCUUUAGAUGAGCCCGCACUAGAUUAGUUUGUUGGUGAGGUAAGAGCUCCACCAAGACUACGAUCUAUAGCUGAUUUGAGAGGAUGAUCAGCCACACUGGGACUGAGACACGGCCCAGACUCCUACGGGAGGCAGCAGUAGGGAAUAUUGGACAAUGGGGGAAACCCUGAUCCAGCAAUGCCGCGUGAGUGAAGAAGGCCCUCGGGUUGUAAAACUCUUUCAUCAAUGAAGAUAAUGACAUUAAUUGAAGAAGAAGCUCCGGCUAACUCCGUGCCAGCAGCCGCGGUAAUACGGAGGGGGCUAGCGUUGUUCGGAAUUACUGGGCGUAAAGCGUAUGUAGGCGGAUCAAAAAGUUAGAUGUGAAAUCCCUGGGCUUAACCUAGGAACUGCAUUUAAAACUAGUGAUCUAGAAAUUAGUAGAGGAUAGUAGAAUUUCCAGUGUAGAGGUGAAAUUCGUAGAUAUUGGAAAGAAUACCAGUGGCGAAGGCGACUAUCUGGGCUAAUUUUGACGCUGAGAUACGAAAGCGUGGGUAGCAAACAGGAUUAGAUACCCUGGUAGUCCACGCAGUAAACGAUGAGUGCUAGUCGCUGGAUCAAUAGGUUCGGUGACGUAGCUAACGCAUUAAGCACUCCGCCUGGGAAGUACGGUCGCAAGAUUAAAACUCAAAUAAAUUGACGGGGGCCCGCACAAGCGGUGGAGCAUGUGGUUUAAUUCGAAGCAACGCGAAGAACCUUACCAGACCUUGACAUGGUGUGUUUGAAUUACAGAAUCGUAAUUCUUCAGUUCGGCUGGCACACACAC